Molecule: ribosomal RNA, 465 nt
Filed under: uncultured bacterium
Lineage: Bacteria
Description: partial 16S ribosomal RNA
Rfam family: Bacterial small subunit ribosomal RNA
Source: RNAcentral
CCUACGGGAGGCAGCAGUGGGGAAUAUUGCGCAAUGGGCGUAAGCCUGACGCAGCGACGCCGCGUGAGGGAUGAAGGUCUUCUGAUCGUAAACCUCUGUCAGCAGGGAAGUACGGUCACUGUGCUAAUCAGCAGUGAAUUGACGUUACCUGCAAAGGACGCACCGGUUAACUCCGGCCCAGCAGCCGCGGUAAUACGGAGGGUGCGAGCGUUAAUCGGAAUUAAUGGGCGUAAGGGGCGCGUAGGCGGUAUGUCAAGUCAAGGGUGAAAGCCCCGCGCGCAACGAGAGAACUGCCUUUGAAACUGGCAGACUGGAGUGUGUGAGAGGAUAGUGGAAUUCCAGGUGUAGGAGUGAAAUCCGUAGAUAUCAGGAGGAACAUCAGUGGCGAAGGCGACUAUCUGGCACAUAACUGACGCUGAGGCGCGAAAGCGUGGGUAGCAAACAGGAUUAGAUACCCCAGUAGUC